UCAGGACGAACGCUGGCGGCGUGCUUAACACAUGCAAGUCGAGCGAGGCCCACUCUUCGGGGUGGUGCCCUAGCGGGAAACGGGUGAGUAACACGUGGGCAACCUGCCCUCAGCUCUGGGAUAACUCCAAGAAAUUGGUGCUAAUACCGGAUGUGACCGCUGACCGCAUGGUCUGGUGGUGGAAAGAUUCAUCGGCUGAGGAUGGGCCCGCGGCCUAUCAGCUUGUUGGUGGGGUAGUGGCCCACCAAGGCGACGACGGGUAGCCGGCCUGAGAGGGUGACCGGCCACAUGGGACUGAGACACGGCCCAGACUCCUACGGGAGGCAGCAGUGGGGAAUAUUGCGCAAUGGGCGAAAGCCUGACGCAGCGACGCCGCGUGGGGGAUGACGGCCUUCGGGUUGUAAACCUCUUUCAGUAGGGACGAAGCGACAAGGAACGGUACCUACAGAAGAAGCACCGGCCAAAUACGUGCCAGCAGCCGCGGUAAUACGUAGGGUGCAAGCGUUGUCCGGAAUUAUUGGGCGUAAAGAGCUCGUAGGCGGUCUGUCGCGUCGGCUGUGAAAACCCGAGGCUCAACCUCGGGCCUGCAGUCGAUACGGGCAAACUAGAGUACUGCAGGGGAGACUGGAAUUCCUGGUGUAGCGGUGAAAUGCGCAGAUAUCAGGAGGAACACCGGUGGCGAAGGCGGGUCUCUGGGCAGUAACUGACGCUGAGGAGCGAAAGCGUGGGGAGCGAACAGGAUUAGAUACCCUGGUAGUCCACGCCGUAAACGUUGGGCGCUAGGUGUGGGGGCCAUUCCACGGUCUCCGUGCCGCAGCUAACGCAUUAAGCGCCCCGCCUGGGGAGUACGGCCGCAAGGCUAAAACUCAAAGGAAUUGACGGGGGCCCGCACAAGCGGCGGAGCAUGUUGCUUAAUUCGAUGCAACGCGAAGAACCUUACCUAGGCUUGACAUGCACGGAAAUCUCGUAGAGAUACGGGGUGCCUUUGGCGUCGUGCACAGGUGGUGCAUGGUUGUCGUCAGCUCGUGUCGUGAGAUGUUGGGUUAAGUCCCGCAACGAGCGCAACCCUCGUUCUAUGUUGCCAGCACGUGAUGGUGGGGACUCAUAGGAGACUGCCGGGGUCAACUCGGAGGAAGGUGGGGAUGACGUCAAAUCAUCAUGCCCCUUAUGUCUAGGGCUGCAAACAUGCUACAAUGGCCGGUACAAAGGGCUGCGAUACCGCGAGGUGGAGCGAAUCCCAAAAAGCCGGUCUCAGUUCGGAUUGGGGUCUGCAACUCGACCCCAUGAAGUUGGAGUCGCUAGUAAUCGCAGAUCAGCAACGCUGCGGUGAAUACGUUCCCGGGCCUUGUACACACCGCCCGUCACGUCACGAAAGUCGGUAACGCCCGAAGCCGGUGGCCCAACCCUUGUGGAGGGAGCCGUCGAAGGCGGGAUCGGCGAUUGGGACGAAGUCGUAACAA
This 1460-nucleotide ribosomal RNA is filed under the name Modestobacter multiseptatus. RNAcentral's name for it is "bacterial SSU rRNA". It matches the Rfam family "Bacterial small subunit ribosomal RNA". The record is from RNAcentral. Lineage: Bacteria; Bacillati; Actinomycetota; Actinomycetes; Geodermatophilales; Geodermatophilaceae.